CUACGGGCGGCAGCAGUGGGGAAUAUUGCACAAUGGGCGCAAGCCUGAUGCAGCCAUGCCGCGUGUAUGAAGAAGGCCUUCGGGUUGUAAAGUACUUUCAGCGGGGAGGAAGGGAGUAAAGUUAAUACCUUUGCUCAUUGACAUUACCCGCAGAAGAAGCACCGGCUAACUCCGUGCCAGCAGCCGCGGUAAUACGGAGGGUGCAAUCGUUAAUCGGAAUUACUGGGCGUAAAGCGCACGCAGGCGGUUUGUUAAGUCGGAUGUGAAAUCCCCGGGCUCAACCUGGGAACUGCACCUGAUACUGGCAAGCUUGAGUCUCGUAGAGGGGGGUAGAAUUCCAGGUGUAGCGGUGAAAUGCGUAGAGAUCUGGAGGAAUACCGGUGGCGAAGGCGGCCCCCUGGACGAAGACUGACGCUCAGGUGCGAAAGCGUGGGGAGCAAACAGGAUUAGAUACCCCCGUAGUC
This 464-nucleotide ribosomal RNA is filed under the name uncultured bacterium. RNAcentral's name for it is "partial 16S ribosomal RNA". It matches the Rfam family "Bacterial small subunit ribosomal RNA", at positions 339 to 795 of the family's 1533-position model. The record is from RNAcentral.